UGGUUCUGGCAUCGAUGAAGAACGCAGCGAAAUGCGAUAAGUAAUGCGAAUUGCAGAAUUCAGUGAGUCAUCGAAUUUUUGAACGCACAUUGCGCCCUUUGGUAUGCCGAAGGGCAUGCCUGUUCGAGCGUCAUUGCUAAACUAUCAAGCCUGGCUUGCUGUUGGACCCCUUUUGUCACUAGGUGACAAGGUCCCAAAGAAAAUGACUGGGAGUCGGAGAGCCACUAUACGCAACGAGCUUGUAAAAUGGCACGCAUCUGGUGGGCCGUCCGGCCCCCGCCAUCGCCCCUUUAUUUCUCAAGGUUGACCUCGGAUCAGGUAGGGAUACCCGCUGA
RNAcentral lists this unclassified non-coding RNA (335 nucleotides) under uncultured fungus. Its description in RNAcentral is "partial contains 5.8S ribosomal RNA and internal transcribed spacer 2". The stretch from base 1 to 133 matches the Rfam family "5.8S ribosomal RNA", at positions 22 to 154 of the family's 154-position model. Lineage: Eukaryota; Fungi. The record is from RNAcentral.